UCAGAACUGACACUGAAAAAUAUCGCGGGGAUGGCUGUCGCGGUCGCUGCGAUGGUCGUGUACAACUGGGCAGUUGAGGUGGAGAAGCAAACCACCGCCAAGAGCUCGCUCACGAAAACCAGCCUCACUGAAGAGGAGUUCCGGCUGUUGAGGGAAGGGGCAGAGAAUUCGCUAUUGGAAGAUGUCGAGCUAGGAGUUGUUAAGGGAUAGUUCUGUCUGA
This 220-nucleotide unclassified non-coding RNA is filed under the name Hevea brasiliensis (rubber tree). Lineage: Eukaryota; Viridiplantae; Streptophyta; Magnoliopsida; Malpighiales; Euphorbiaceae. The record is from RNAcentral.